RNAcentral lists this long non-coding RNA (282 nucleotides) under Anser brachyrhynchus (Pink-footed goose). Its description in RNAcentral is "lncRNA (ENSABRG00000006459.1)". Lineage: Eukaryota; Metazoa; Chordata; Aves; Anseriformes; Anatidae. The record is from RNAcentral.
CUUCUCUCAACCUCAACAGGGUGUGCUUGGAGGACCAGAGCUCCCAGAGCAAACAGGAACCUCCAGGAAACACCCAAAUUUACUCCUUAAAUGCCUCUUGGACGCGCGUGCUAUUCUUGUGGGGCAGGCUCAGGACCAGGACAGUCCUGUCACCAGUUGCCCCGUGACAGUCACCUCGGAGCGACGUCGCAGAGCCCCUGGCAGCACACCCGUUUAUUUCCCUGCACUGACAACAGGUUUCAUCAGGCUUGAAGCUCAGCCACUGAUCAUGUUUCACCACAG